GUAUUUUUUAUAAUUCUCACUUAAUUAUUGUAACAUAUUAACGUAUUGUUAAUGGGUACUUUCCAGAGAGCUUUGGUCCUCUCAGGGACAGUUUUCUGUGACAGAAAACCCCUUGUGUGAGGUCAUUUAUGAAGCACUGAGCCUAUACUCCUGACAAAAAUGUGACCCAUGGGAGAAAGAGAAACUGAUCCAAGAGAAUGUAAAUAAUUCUUAUGGUCAGCCCUUCAUCCUAAAACAAUUACUUUCCUUGUGUGUUAUACCAGAUGAAAAUUUAACAGAGGUUUUCAUGACAAUGUGGCAACAAAUGACCCAGAGUAAGGUGGAGUCCUCAAAGAUAUUACUGUGUGAUCCAAUCCCAAGUCACCCAAAGGACACAAACCUCAAACCCUGGACAACUCUGAUCAAGACUUGA
This 412-nucleotide long non-coding RNA is filed under the name Felis catus (domestic cat). RNAcentral describes it as "lncRNA (ENSFCAG00000049677.1)". The record is from RNAcentral. Lineage: Eukaryota; Metazoa; Chordata; Mammalia; Carnivora; Felidae.